CUAAACACACGCGCGCGGCACACCCUCCUUCCUCGAUCCCCUUCUUUCCCGAAAAACCCUAGGUCAAGCGCUACCGCCUCCCUCUUCCUCCCUCUCCCUGAUCCAGAUCCCUCCUCCGCCGCCCCUCCUCCCAUCCACCACCCUUCCAGUUCCAUUCAUCCCCGCAGCAGAUCGAGAGAGCCACCCAACCUCACCGUUGAUAGAUGCACCACCGCCUAGCAGCCAUGGCCGGAUGGCUCGCCGGUGUGCGCGUGCUUCUAUACACGCCGCUUCAUCGUUCCCUACCCUAGCAGUCGAUCCCAACUGCCGCUGCUUCACCGGCCUCCUCCAUCUCUCUACUGGCCACGAGUGACCACCCAAUUCCACUCUAGAUCCCCAAUGCCAAAGGCAGAGCCAGCCGCCGCCGGCCUCCGUUGUCUUCCCCAACCCCGGCCUUCACUCCACCGCUGGCGCCCUCUCCCCUCCUCCCCCUCUCCGUAGAUCCUCUCGAGCAACGUUGCCCAUGGCCAGAUCUUCUCCCUCCUUGCGCCGGAAACCCUAGAUGUCGGGGCACGGCCAUGGCGACCGACCGGGGGUGCAGGACUAGGACUCGGACAACGGUGGUAUGCUCCUUCUUCCUCCAGCACAAGAACGUACAAGAAGCAUCCAAGGACAGACCCGGCGGAAAACCCAUGGUGCCAUCUGCAGGACAAAUUGGCGUGCUAAUCUAUCGAGCUUUCCUUCUGAUUUCAUGUUCACUAUCUUAGGAGAACCUGGUGUGCUAUAUGGGGAAGCAAAGCAGCAGCCCACAACUCCGACUUGCGACUCCAGAUGAAGGGACCACGACGCACCAUGCUGCUCCCUUGGAAGGUCGGCUGAGCGAUGCGGCGGCGAAAGCAGUGAACGAGCUGCUGCCGUCGGGCGCCGCCGGCAACCUGAGCAGCCUCUGCUCCUGGGCCGACAAGGUCAGGUUCAGGUACUACUAGUCAGCGCCUCUCCACUUCAUCGACGUCCCCGAAAACGUCUGCAGCUACUACUACGACAGGUCCUACUAGGACGAGGAUGGCGUCAAGGGCCGCUGCGUCGCUGGCGCCAUCAACAAAUACACCUCCCAGCUCCUCACCUAGGGAUCAUCAUCAUCAUCGCCAUCACCAUCUUCUAAAUCUUUCAGCCAAGGUAAUGUUAAGUUACAUCAUACGAAUUUCAGCACAUCUCUUCUGGUUGACUGAAUUAGUACUGAAGAUGCCAUGUUUUUUCUGCAUGGAAUGCUGCAGAUAACCUGACGAAAGCGCUCUUGUUCCUCUCAAACUUCAUGGGCGACAUCCACAAGCCACUGCAUGUGGGGUCCUCCUCUGAAAAAGAAGGGAACGCCAUCAACGUCCACUGGUAUAGAAGGAAAUCUGCACUCCACCAUAGGCUAGCCUUCAUGCAUGUGUUUGCCGUGAGGUACAUGAUGUUCAAGUCGGAAGAAGCAUAGAUUUCUAGCUCAUUGGAGCUAGUUAUACUGUGAUAGCUAGCUCAUGAUUUGUUCAACGAUUCUUCUUCUGUUAAUAUUUAUCCUGUAAUCUAUCGCCUUGGACCACACUAACAUUUGCUCCAUGAUUCCCUAACUGCUCAACAUGUUGAUCGGUUUUGAACGUCUGAUUUUUUGUGUGUAGGGGGACUUGUGAUGUGGCAUGCCAAGCAACAGCAAGGGGAGGGGGUCUUCGAAAUGUCGCCGCUGUCGCUCAUUGCUAGUGUCACCGAUUGAUGAUGGAUGGUUGCUGUUAGUUUAGCUCCUUGGUAGUACCUCCUUGUCUUUCAGGCGGCUGCUGCUGCUGCUGGUAGAAAUGGUAGCUACAGUCCUAUGUACUUCUUGUGCUCGGAUUGCCCUUUGUUGAAUGUACCUACUGUUGUACCCGUGACUGUUUACGGAAUCCUUUUGUGUUGAAAGAAAUAAAAUUGUCACCCGUGGCUGUUUAAGAUAAA
Long non-coding RNA from Triticum aestivum (bread wheat), 1947 nucleotides. RefSeq lists it as uncharacterized. The record is from RefSeq and is a predicted model, not a curated record. NCBI's taxonomy places the organism in Eukaryota, Viridiplantae, Streptophyta, Magnoliopsida, Poales, Poaceae. The transcript has 7 exons.